UCCUCUUUGUGACAUGGGUUCCUGCCUUCC
Molecule: non-coding RNA, 30 nt
Filed under: Mus musculus (house mouse)
Lineage: Eukaryota; Metazoa; Chordata; Mammalia; Rodentia; Muridae
Source: RNAcentral